GGCCUCGUAGCGCAGCUGGUAGAGCAUGCGCUGCACAAAAGCGUAGGCGACGCCCAUGCGUGGGUUCGAAUCCCACCGAAGCUA
Molecule: transfer RNA, 84 nt
Filed under: Echinostoma caproni
Lineage: Eukaryota; Metazoa; Platyhelminthes; Trematoda; Plagiorchiida; Echinostomatidae
Rfam family: tRNA
About the family: Transfer RNA (tRNA) molecules are approximately 80 nucleotides in length. Their secondary structure includes four short double-helical elements and three loops (D, anti-codon, and T loops).
Source: Rfam by way of RNAcentral